UAAAAUUGACGGUGUUAAACUUGGUAAUGAAUUCCUUAUAUUCCGAAUUGAUCUUACAUUAGCAAAAUCUGGUAAGUUUAUACAACUAAUAAAAAGUCAAAAUUACUGGCGAUAUAGCUAGAUUAAUUAUCACAUGGCCUUCAACCUUUCUAUGUUGCUCCUCUUUUUCAAUUUUACUGCCCUAUUAACCUAUCUCAUUUCUUUGUGUAGAUUGCAAGAUAAAUCGGUGAUGCAUGGUCAGAUGUUGAUUGCAAGGUCAAGAACAUGGGUGCUACUAGAUAGUUUCACAUUGUGUUUCAGAAUGUCAUUUUCAUUGUCGAUGUGUCAAUCAUUAUGAUUCAGGCAUUUUCAGUGUCAAUGUUUAGAUCAUUAUGUUUCAAAAUGGCUGAGACGUUGGUUGCAAGAUCAAGAAUAGGACCAGUACUAGUUUCACAUCUUGUAAUCUUUGUAUCCAGAUCCUUGUAAUGCAACCAAGUUGAUUUAAUAUAUGAGACAGUUCUGUUUGUUAUACUGCGUCCUCUAUGCAAUAUUGGCAUUGACCUAAUAAUUCUUGAUCGGAAUUGACCUAAUAAUUCUGGAUGGUCAUAUAUAUAGUAUCGUGCAU
Molecule: long non-coding RNA, 604 nt
Filed under: Triticum aestivum (bread wheat)
Lineage: Eukaryota; Viridiplantae; Streptophyta; Magnoliopsida; Poales; Poaceae
Description: long non-coding RNA (TAES_LNC022909)
Source: RNAcentral